RNAcentral lists this long non-coding RNA (326 nucleotides) under Mytilus galloprovincialis (Mediterranean mussel). The record is from RNAcentral. Lineage: Eukaryota; Metazoa; Mollusca; Bivalvia; Mytilida; Mytilidae.
AUUUCUCUUAAUCAAACAUACUUGGAUAACAAUUUAUAGAAAACUACCACAAGGGCCAGGGGAUUUUCAGUUUAUAGGGGAGGGAAAUGUUCCCAUACAUUUUUGUAAGUCUUGAACUGGCAAAAUGGUAUGAAUCAAUAACCAUGAUAACUACAACAAGAUGAUACAAUAUAAAAAAGAUGUGGAAUUGAUUGUCAAUGAGACAACUCUCCAUGGCCACAAGACACCAAAUGACACAGAAAUUAACAGCUUAAGAUCACUGUACAGCCUUCAACAAUAAGCAAAGCCAAUAUCACAUACUCAGCUACAUUUACAUGUAUGGGAGG